Molecule: small nucleolar RNA, 116 nt
Organism: Papaver somniferum (opium poppy)
Lineage: Eukaryota; Viridiplantae; Streptophyta; Magnoliopsida; Ranunculales; Papaveraceae
Product: small nucleolar RNA snoR104
Exons: 1
Source: RefSeq, a predicted model, not a curated record
GGGGUGCAUCAGAAAACGAUGUUACUCGAUACAAACUUCCUACAAAAAGAAUCUGUAAUUUCCUGCUUGCUGAUCUGGAAGCAAGUUCUGCAAGUCUCAAAUUACCGAACAUUUCA